UGUUUCCUGAGUUUUCGCCAUUUACACC
Molecule: non-coding RNA, 28 nt
Filed under: Mus musculus (house mouse)
Lineage: Eukaryota; Metazoa; Chordata; Mammalia; Rodentia; Muridae
Source: RNAcentral